Molecule: long non-coding RNA, 279 nt
Organism: Zingiber officinale
Lineage: Eukaryota; Viridiplantae; Streptophyta; Magnoliopsida; Zingiberales; Zingiberaceae
Exons: 3
Source: RefSeq, a predicted model, not a curated record
UGGGAAAAAAUAGUACCACCAUUACCAUCCAGCAGCAAGCCAUCCUGGUCCUGCGUUGAAUCUUCAUCGUCGCUCUGGAAAAACAUAAUCAGGAAUUUCACUGGUAGCUAAGAUCUGUUAUUUUGGACAAUGAGUAGGCCUCAAGUGAGAUGGAAUGAAGACAACUUAUAUGAAAUUGAAGCCAAUAAACCAGUGAGGCAGAAAAUAACUGAACCUAAAACACCUUAUCAUCCUAUGGUUGAGGAUGAUGGUAAGUCCGCAAAUGUUGAUUUAUUCAAA